Molecule: ribosomal RNA, 333 nt
Filed under: uncultured bacterium
Lineage: Bacteria
Description: bacterial SSU rRNA
Rfam family: Bacterial small subunit ribosomal RNA
Source: RNAcentral
UCCGUAGGCGGUGUGGCAAGUCGGUAGUGAAAUCUCUCGGCUUAACUGAGAGGCUGCUGCCGAAACUGCCAUGCUCGAGUGCGAGAGAGGCGAGUGGAAUUGCGGGUGUAGCGGUGAAAUGCGUAGAUAUCCGCAGGAACAUCCGAGGCGAAAGCGGCUCGCUGGAUCGGCAACUGACGCUGAGGGACGAAAGCUAGGGGAGCAAACAGGAUUAGAUACCCUGGUAGUCCUAGCCCUAAACCAUCAGGACUUCGGGGUUUGCCCUGUACGGGGCAAGUCCCGGAGCUAACGCGUUAACGUCCUGCGCCUGGGGAGUACGGUCGCAAGGCUGAA